CCUACGGGAGGCAGUAGUAGGGAAUAUUGCUCAAUGGGGGAAACCCUGAAGCAGCAACGCCGCGUGGAGGAUGAAGGUUUUCGGAUUGUAAACUCCUUUUGUUAGAGAAGAUAAUGACGGUAUCUAACGAAUAAGCACCGGCUAACUCCGUGCCAGCAGCCGCGGUAAUACGGAGGGUGCAAGCGUUACUCGGAAUCACUGGGCGGAAAGAGCGCGUAGGCGGGAUAGCAAGUCAGAGGUGAAAUCCUAUGGCUUAACCAUAGAACUGCAUUUGAAACUGUUAUUCUAGAGUAUGGGAGAGGUAGGUGGAAUUCUUGGUGUAGGGGUAAAAUCCGUAGAGAUCAAGAGGAAUACUCAUUGCGAAGGCGACCUGCUAGAACAUAACUGACGCUGAUGCGCGAAAGCGUGGGGAGCAAACAGGAUUAGAUACCCGGGUAGUC
This 440-nucleotide ribosomal RNA is filed under the name uncultured bacterium. RNAcentral's name for it is "partial 16S ribosomal RNA". It matches the Rfam family "Bacterial small subunit ribosomal RNA", at positions 338 to 795 of the family's 1533-position model. The record is from RNAcentral.